AGAGUUUGAUCCUGGCUCAGGACGAACGCUGGCGGCGUGCUUAACACAUGCAAGUCGAGCGGUAAGGCCUUUCGGGGUACACGAGCGGCGAACGGGUGAGUAACACGUGGGUGAUCUGCCCUGCACUCUGGGAUAAGCUUGGGAAACUGGGUCUAAUACCGGAUAUGACUGCAUGCCGCAUGGUGUGUGGUGGAAAGAUUUAUCGGUGCAGGAUGGGCCCGCGGCCUAUCAGCUUGUUGGUGGGGUAAUGGCCUACCAAGGCGACGACGGGUAGCCGACCUGAGAGGGUGACCGGCCACACUGGGACUGAGACACGGCCCAGACUCCUACGGGAGGCAGCAGUGGGGAAUAUUGCACAAUGGGCGGAAGCCUGAUGCAGCGACGCCGCGUGAGGGAUGAAGGCCUUCGGGUUGUAAACCUCUUUCAGCAGGGACGAAGCGUGAGUGACGGUACCUGCAGAAGAAGCACCGGCUAACUACGUGCCAGCAGCCGCGGUAAUACGUAGGGUGCGAGCGUUGUCCGGAAUUACUGGGCGUAAAGAGUUCGUAGGCGGUUUGUCGCGUCGUUUGUGAAAACCCGGGGCUCAACUUCGGGCUUGCAGGCGAUACGGGCAGACUUGAGUGUUUCAGGGGAGACUGGAAUUCCUGGUGUAGCGGUGAAAUGCGCAGAUAUCAGGAGGAACACCGGUGGCGAAGGCGGGUCUCUGGGAAACAACUGACGCUGAGGAACGAAAGCGUGGGUAGCAAACAGGAUUAGAUACCCCGGUAGUCC
Molecule: ribosomal RNA, 771 nt
Filed under: uncultured bacterium
Lineage: Bacteria
Description: bacterial SSU rRNA
Rfam family: Bacterial small subunit ribosomal RNA
Source: RNAcentral